AGAGUUUGAUCCUGGCUCAGGAUGAACGCUAGCGACAGGCCUAACACAUGCAAGUCGAGGGGCGAGCGGAGAGGUAUCAAUACCUUUGCCGGCGACCGGCGCACGGGUGAGUAACACGUAUGCAAUCCACCUGUAACAGGGGGAUAACCCGGAGAAAUCCGGGACUAAUACCCCAUAAUAAUGGGCGCUCCGCAUGGAGAGCCCAUUAAAGAGAGCAAUUUUGGUACAGACGAGCAUUGCGCUCCAUUAG
This 250-nucleotide ribosomal RNA is filed under the name uncultured bacterium. Its description in RNAcentral is "partial 16S ribosomal RNA". It matches the Rfam family "Bacterial small subunit ribosomal RNA", at positions 8 to 244 of the family's 1533-position model. The record is from RNAcentral.